ACCCCUGUGACAUACCUAUACGUUGCCUCGGCGGAUCAGCCCGCGCCCCGUAAAACGGGACGGCCCGCCCGAGGACCCCUAAACUCUGUUUUUAGUGGAACUUCUGAGUAAAACAAACAAAUAAAUCAAAACUUUCAACAACGGAUCUCUUUGGCUCUGGCAUCGAUGAAGAACGCAGCGAAAUGCGAUAAGUAAUGUGAAUUGCAGAAUUCAGUGAAUCAUCGAAUCUUUGAACGCACAUUGCGCCCGCCAGUAUUCUGGCGGGCAUGCCUGUUCGAGCGUCAUUACAACCCUCAGGCCCCCGGGCCUGGCGUUGGGGAUCGGCGGAAGCCCCCUGCGGGCACAACGCCGUCCCCCAAAUACAGUGGCGGUCCCGCCGCAGCUUCCAUUGCGUAGUAGCUAACACCUCGCAACUGGAGAGCGGCGCGGCCACGCCGUAAAACACCCAACUUCUGAAUGUUGACCUCGAAUCAGGUAGGAAUACCCGCUGAACUUAAGCA
This 500-nucleotide ribosomal RNA is filed under the name Fusarium oxysporum f. sp. lycopersici. RNAcentral's name for it is "eukaryotic LSU rRNA". The stretch from base 130 to 284 matches the Rfam family "5.8S ribosomal RNA". The record is from RNAcentral. Lineage: Eukaryota; Fungi; Ascomycota; Sordariomycetes; Hypocreales; Nectriaceae.